GAUGAACGCUAGCGAUAGGCUUAACACAUGCAAGUCGAGGGGCAGCAUGGUCUUAGCUUGCUCAGGCUGAUGGCGACCGGCGCACGGGUGCGUAACGCGUAUGCAACUUGCCUCACAGAGGGGGAUAACCCGUCGAAAGACGGACUAAUACCGCGUACACUCUAUGUUGGGCAUCCAAUGUAGAGGAAAUGAAAUUCGCUGUGAGAUAGGCAUGCGUCCCAUUAGCUAGUUGGUGAGGUAACGGCUCACCAAGGCGACGAUGGGUAGGGGAACUGAGAGGUGGAACCCCCACACUGGUACUGAGACACGGACCAGACUCCUACGGGAGGCAGCAGUGAGGAAUAUUGGUCAAUGGGCGAGAGCCUGAACCAGCCAAGUCGCGUGAAGGAUGACUGUCUUAUGGAUUGUAAACUUCUUUUAUACGGGAAUAACAAGAGUCACGUGUGGCUCCCUGCAUGUACCGUAUGAAUAAGCAUCGGCUAACUCCGUG
RNAcentral lists this ribosomal RNA (490 nucleotides) under uncultured bacterium. RNAcentral's name for it is "partial 16S ribosomal RNA". It matches the Rfam family "Bacterial small subunit ribosomal RNA", at positions 28 to 507 of the family's 1533-position model. The record is from RNAcentral.